GACGAACGCUGGCGGCGUGCUUAACACAUGCAAGUCGAACGGAAAGGCCCUGCUUUUGUGGGGUGCUCGAGUGGCGAACGGGUGAGUAACACGUGAGUAACCUGCCCUUGACUUUGGGAUAACUUCAGGAAACUGGGGCUAAUACCGGAUAGGAGCUCCUGCUGCAUGGUGGGGGUUGGAAAGUUUCGGCGGUUGGGGAUGGACUCGCGGCUUAUCAGCUUGUUGGUGGGGUAGUGGCUUACCAAGGCUUUGACGGGUAGCCGGCCUGAGAGGGUGACCGGCCGCAUUGGGACUGAGAUACGGCCCAGACUCCUACGGGAGGCAGCAGUGGGGAAUAUUGCACAAUGGGCGGAAGCCUGAUGCAGCAACGCCGCGUGCGGGAUGACGGCCUUCAGGUUGUAAACCGCUUUCGCCUGUGACGAAGCGUGAGUGACGGUAAUGGGUAAAGAAGCACCGGCUAACUACGUG
This 468-nucleotide ribosomal RNA is filed under the name uncultured bacterium. RNAcentral describes it as "partial 16S ribosomal RNA". It matches the Rfam family "Bacterial small subunit ribosomal RNA", at positions 28 to 507 of the family's 1533-position model. The record is from RNAcentral.